Long non-coding RNA from Salvia splendens (bonfire salvia), 2591 nucleotides. RefSeq lists it as uncharacterized. The record is from RefSeq and is a predicted model, not a curated record. NCBI's taxonomy places the organism in Eukaryota, Viridiplantae, Streptophyta, Magnoliopsida, Lamiales, Lamiaceae. The transcript has 3 exons.
UACUUCAGUUUGAGAGAGGGUGUAGAGUUGGUUUGUAAUACUACCAAUGUAAAUGUUGCAUGAGAUGAAACUUAGACAAAAGCUUGGUUUGAACCUCAGCCUUUUCACUAACACAGUUUCGAUCAUUUAAAAUGCUGGCAUGACAUAAAUCUACAGAUAAUGGGUUCUAAUCUCAGAAAAUUUUUAGUCUAGAAGUGGUUGAAAAAGAUAAAAGAUUGCCAAAUAAGCAAUGCAAAUUGAACCUGAUAACUUCCAGUAACGUGGAUAACCACAAACAUGUUAGCUUUUGCAACGAGCCAUGCAGGUUUCUGUAACGAGAGAAUGGGUUGCAAUGUCAGAAAUUUAUAAGUCUAGAACUGGUUGAAAAAAGAUAAAAUAUUGCCACAUAAGCAAUGAAAAGUGAACCUGAUAACUUCCAGUAACAUGGAUAACCAAAAACAGUUUAGCUUCUGCAACUAGCAGGUUUCUGUAAUGAGAGAAGUAUGUUGUGCUGGACUUGGUUCCCGAACAACCAGUAAUCAUAAGAGCAAUGGGCAAAUAACACAAUGCAACUAUGCAAUAGGCACCAAGCACACAUUUCCACAUGGGCUUCUUUGAAGGCUUCUCUGGUGUUGAAAGAAUCGUUGCCCGAAUCUAAAGCACCACAUUGUGACCAGCAUAGGCGAACACCAUCUCCCCUAGAGCGGUAAAGAAGUCCAAACUUUCCAGCUCUGCUGGGUGUAGGAUAGCUGUACUCAACUCCCUGUUGGACUACCUUGUGAACGGAAGCUGUCCAAGCUACUGUAAAGUAAAUAUUUUAUUUGGCAAAGAAAGUGAACAUUGUUCUUUAUAACCUUUUGUGAUCUUGCAUUAGUUUCAGAUUGAUGGGCUGGUUAAAAUAUAUGGUAGCUGCAGCUAAAGAUAUCCUAGAGAUAGAGUUGACGUUUGGCAAAUUGGAGAGAACAAAAUGGGCAGAGUCGAAUAUCAUUAUGAUUGAUUUACCUCCAGUAACCCUGUAUACUCUAUUGACACCAACUUCAACGAUCAACUGCUGAGUUACUACAAUGUAAAGGCUGAGCUUUACACCAAUGUGUGCGGGCCAACUUGGCCAAGUUCAUGGUAUCUGUCAAAACGUUUUCCAGGUACCUUCUCAUGCUUCUCAACCAUUUGCCACAAAGUGUAUAAUGUGAUGAUACAUGAGAGAACUAGAAUACUAACACCUGGGCCCCUAAUUUCACAUAUAAUUAUGGCAUAAGGAAUAAGUUUUGAUAGGAGAAAUGAAAAUAUAAAGGAACUAUAGAAUAUAGAUUGAUAGGUCUUCUAUUGUAAACUCUGUAUUUUUCUUAUAUGGAAUAUUCAAACCUUCAUUGGUUCAGUUACAUCCUUCUUUAGUGAUCCAGUUCAACCAAAUGAUUGAGAUCAAUUUAUCGCGAACUGCAAAGCUUAAGCAUAACUGAAACAAACUCAAGUUGAAGGCAUGCGUACUAUCCCAGAGCUGCCAUGGGCGUAAGGGAAACUUUGGAUUCCAGCUCCAACCAUGGCAGUAACGUUGUAAAAAGCUGAGUACCACCUUUUUGCAUUCCGUGAUCAAGUAAUUGGAAGCCAGUGGCUGUCAUCUAUUGCCUUUUGCUCCACUUACCAGUAAUUAUAAUUAGCGAUAAGGAACAUUGGAAUCAGGUAACAGAACUGGUGUAUAAAGAUAGGAUGGAAUUGUUGAAAUAUUUGGUGUUAGAAUUUUCUUCACAUAGUUCUCUCUAUAACAGUCGGGGGUGAUGAUGAAUUGUGAGAAACUGCAAUUUUUCGAGAUUCUCUGAGCCAGAUCUUUUGUGCAAAAUUAAUUUAUUAUGGAGAGAGAAUGACAGUUGCUUUAGUUGUUCUGUUUGUCUUUCCAUCUGAUGCCGUUCAUUUGUUGAAUCAGGGAUGUAAACAUAAUAAUCGGCUGCUUCCUUUGUUUCCAUGGUGUUGCAGCACAGAAAUGAUCUUGGUUUGCUUGUUGGAAGGAGAAUCUACAACGGAACCUGCAUCUUGCAGCAAACAAAUAACGCAGACAGGUUAACAGUGUUCAUACCAGUUCAAGAUUCUGAACUGCAUACUGUUAUCACCAAUGUGCUUUCUUAACUACAUAAAAUUUGGCUGUCAUUUAAGGUUGUUAUAAUAGUUAAUAUUUGAGUGCCUAGCUGGUUAUGAAAGGUAUCGUAAUGUCUAAUAAAAUUUGUAGAGGUUGACACCAUAUAGAGAUGCAAGCUCACAUUGGAGUUUGGACAAGAUUUCAUCUUGAAUGCGUUAUUAGCAGCCAAGAACUUAGCCUCACCCUUGAGCAACACCAGAAUAUUCAGUCUUAAGACUUUUAGGCACUUAAUUUUUGCAGCGUUGUUUAGUACAAGAGUACAACAAUAGGAGAGAGAAUAAUUUCCGAUUUCUGAAAUUGUCAUUUUGAUUGGGACAUCCAAAAGGGAAAUGUUUCAUUUUGAGCGGAACAGAGGGACUUGUCUAUUAUUCUCUAUGUCUGAGUAAUAUAUUCUGGAAAGUUGAGGGUAUCCUACAAAAUGCUUCCCUCGUGUUUCAUUUAACCUAUCUGUCUACUUGUCUACAAAACAAAGUAACAGAACGCC